Transfer RNA from Succinatimonas hippei YIT 12066, 73 nucleotides. It matches the Rfam family "tRNA". From Rfam's summary of the family: Transfer RNA (tRNA) molecules are approximately 80 nucleotides in length. Their secondary structure includes four short double-helical elements and three loops (D, anti-codon, and T loops). The record is from Rfam. NCBI's taxonomy places the organism in Bacteria, Pseudomonadati, Pseudomonadota, Gammaproteobacteria, Aeromonadales, Succinivibrionaceae.
GCCUAGAUAGCUCAGUCGGUAGAGCAGGGGAUUGAAAAUCCCCGUGUCGGUGGUUCGAUUCCGCCUCUGGGCA